RNAcentral lists this long non-coding RNA (2907 nucleotides) under Phocoena sinus (vaquita). Its description in RNAcentral is "lncRNA (ENSPSNG00000001315.1)". The stretch from base 34 to 79 matches the Rfam family "CDKN2B antisense RNA 1 convserved region 2". Lineage: Eukaryota; Metazoa; Chordata; Mammalia; Artiodactyla; Phocoenidae. The record is from RNAcentral.
ACGCAUCUCCAGGCAGCCCGCCCCCUCGCAACAUCCGUCACCUGACCCUGCCAUAUCAGGAACCGCCGCGGUCCAGCUCGCGUCCCUGCUUCCCUGUCCCCCUUCCUUUAUUCCUCGCUCCCCACGCUGGGGAUUCUUCCUUUCUCCAAACCGGAUUAUUUAAAAGAGAAAAAGAAAGAAAAAAAAAAGCAAAUUUAUCUCAUGGGUCUAUCCGCCAUUCAGGAGGCUGGAUGUCAGUUUUUAAAGAAAUGGCGCUAUACUCCACUUCUCGAUUUGGGAAACGAGCGAAAUUAAAGGAAACUGCUGCGACAUCUGGACACUGCGUGGCGCUGGCGCCGCUGGAGCGGCGGGCCCCGCGCCGGACCAGGACUCCCUCAGAAUUUACGGAACAUCCAGGCUCCAUGCUGAGGCUGCUUGCCGCUCCCCUGUGACAGAAUGAAUGCGCUUUCUGGCUCUUCACAAGGCUAGCUCCUACUCCUUCAGGGCGCUUCUCAGGUAUAUCCGCCCCCCCCCGCCCCCCUCAGAGACUCUUCCUCCAGGCACCGUAUUUUUUUUCCCCUAAAGCACUUACCAUACAGAAGUUAUCAUUAGUAAUUGUUUACUUGUUUGUCUGUCAGUAGUUAGUAUGUAAACUCCGUGGAAGGCCGGUCUUGCUCUGUCUUGCACCACACCUAUGAUUCCCCUCCUCCACCACCACCCCCAAAAUAAACCUCAUAGGAGAGAGAUGGACUAGUAAAAACAUACAAUUAUAGUGAGGGGAUUUCAUUUUAUGGCAAACAGAAGAGGGGUACUUUAGGAGGUGGGGGAUCAGAGAAAGCAUCCUAGAGGGGAAAUGCUGCCCAGUUUCAGCACAGUAUCAUUUAAGGAUUCUGGAGAAGUGGAAGAGAGAAGGGUUUCCUGGACCCAGGCAGAGUUACUAGCUGUGGCAGUAAACCAUGGUGCGGGAGGGUGAGAAAACCUGUAUUACACAUUUCUUGAAAUUAUUAGUCAGGGUUCUCUAGAGACAAAACCAAUUGUGUGUGUGUGUGUGUGCGUGCGCACACGCGCUUGUAUGAUUUAUUUUAAGGAAUUGGCUUACCCAGUUGUGGGGCUGGCAAGUCUGAAGUCUGCAAGACAAGUAGGCAGGCUGGAGACCCAUGGAGGAGUUGAUGUUGCAGUUUUGAGUCAGAAGGCAGCCUGGAGACAGAAUUCUUUCUUCCUUGGGCAACCUCUUUUCACUUAAGGCCUUCAACUAAUUGGAUGAGGCCCACACAGAUUAUGGAGGAUAAUCUGCUUUAUUUAAAGUCUAUGGAUUUAAAUGUUAAUUAUAUCUAAAAAAUACCUUUACAGCAAUAACUUGACUGGUGUUUGACCAAACAAUUGGGUACCACAGCCUAGCCAAGUUGACACAUAAAAUUAAACCUCACAUUAUCCUAUUAUGCCUGAAAGGUCUGCUGAGCCUCAGUUUCCCAACCAAGUUUACAUUCUGUGAUCUUUCUGUAUUGAUUGGGCCUGUAUAGCUUAACCUAUAACCAUUUCCUCUCCGCCCAAACUUGUUCUGGGGAUAAGGGUAGUUACCCACUUCAGAGGAAUGCCAUUUGAGUAAGAGCACUGAGUAAGAUGACUAUACAGUAAGCUCUGUGUUCAAUGAAUAUAAAAUUUAAAACUUAAACUUAAAUUCCAUCUUGGUUUUCCCCUGCUACCCAACACCUGUGUUUUGUUAGUUGUGGUAUGCAGGGGAAUUCUAUCUAAUUUUAAUAUUAGACUAAGCAAAAUACAAUUAUGAAGAUGAAUCUUUAGCAACACAACUAAUUUGUGGCAUUCCAAACACGUUUGGAAUUCCAGAUGACUUUGGCUUUGUGUUCUUCAAGAAGAGUAUGAUCGAGAGCUGAUCAGUGUUAUUUGUGCACACUUUCACUUGUAUUACUUAUCCUCACAGCGGCUCUUUGAAUUUGGGAUUACUACCCUACUUUACAGGUGAGAAGACUGAGACCUAGAGGCACUCAAAUCUUAGAUACUUUAUAGCCAGCAAGUGUCAGGGCUGGAAUCAUUAAGAAGGUCUUUGGACUGAAAGCCUUGUGCCCUUUCUAUUGUGCUAAACAGAGUCAAUAGGAAGUGAAAUAUUGAUGGGUCAUUUUUGCAGAAAGAGGAUCAUUGAAUGUCAGAGCUUUUAUUUGCUCUCUUCCUUUGGCCUAAAAACUGACUUGGCAGCUGAGUUUUUGAAUGGAGGAAAAUUAUUUUCUAUUUUUUAAAAUGAUUUUCUAUUUUGGAUCAGCAAAUUCAUCCCACAGGCAGAGAUAGGAGAGGGCAUUUUACUAAUACCUUGUCUGUGCCAUGCCACCCAACUACCCUCUAGCUGUGAUGUCCUAGGACACCAGCUUUUUCCCUCAGGUAUCUCUUGAUUAUCAAAAUUCUGUGAGAAACUUCCCUAAUAUUGCACAUGCUCAAACUACAAACCCCAAAGGUAUAAGACACAAAACACUAGAAGAUUUUAAAACUAUUAUUUGAACACAUAUAAAAUAUUAACUUCUAGAAUAUAUAAAUACAUAAAUGAGUAAAAAAACAACCCAGUAGAAAAGUUAGCAAAUAAUAUAAUGGGCAGUUUAGAGUAGAGGAUAUUCAAAUAGUCAAAUGGUUAAAAAAUUAUGAAAAUAUAUUCAAUUUUACUGGUUAGUAAAGAAAUGUAACAAAAACACUGACAUAUACCUACAGGUGUGGCAAAAAUAAAAAGAGUGAUAACAUUGGCAAAGUUGUCAGAAAACAAUCUUCUUACAUACUAUUGUAACUUGGUACAUUCAUUUUGGAAGGCAACUUUACAGUAUUUAUUAAAACUGUAUGUGCAUAUACAUACCCUUUGACUCAGCAAUUCCACUGAGUUUAUGUAUGCAAAUAUACACAUACAUAAAUAGAUGUAUGGAAAUAUGUAUA